AUCACUUCCAAAACCCAAACCAGAGUCAUGGCGCCAAGGAAGGCCUCAUCGUCUCCUUCUCCAAUCCUAAUCGGUAAUUGCGAGGUCAUUGUAGAAGCGAACAACUUCACUUGCCAAUCAGAUCCCAAUAGCCUCCAAAUUUCUCUCACCAAAAGCGCAAAAAUCAAAAUUUCAGUGAGAGAAGACUUUAAUAGAAGAUGUAAUGAUGAUAUUUGGAAAUCUAAAGCUGAAGGAGAAGG
This is a long non-coding RNA of Manihot esculenta (cassava), 239 nucleotides long. RefSeq lists it as uncharacterized. The transcript has 3 exons. The record is from RefSeq and is a predicted model, not a curated record. NCBI's taxonomy places the organism in Eukaryota, Viridiplantae, Streptophyta, Magnoliopsida, Malpighiales, Euphorbiaceae.